Molecule: ribosomal RNA, 504 nt
Filed under: uncultured bacterium
Lineage: Bacteria
Description: partial 16S ribosomal RNA
Rfam family: Bacterial small subunit ribosomal RNA
Source: RNAcentral
AUUGAACGCUGGCGGCAUGCCUUACACAUGCAAGUCGAACGGCAGCAUGGAGAGCUUGCUCUCUGAUGGCGAGUGGCGAACGGGUGAGUAAUGCAUCGGAACGUACCGUGUAAUGGGGGAUAACGUAGCGAAAGUUACGCUAAUACCGCAUACGACCUGAGGGUGAAAGAAGGGGAUCGCAAGACCUUGCGUUAUACGAGCGGCCGAUGUCAGAUUAGCUAGUUGGUGGGGUAAAGGCCUACCAAGCCGACGAUCUGUAGCUGGUCUGAGAGGACGACCAGCCACACUGGGACUGAGACACGGCCCAGACUCCUACGGGAGGCAGCAGUGGGGAAUUUUGGGCAAUGGGCGCAAGCCUGAUCCAGCAAUGCCGCGUGCAGGAAGAAGGCCUUCGGGUUGUAAACUGCUUUUGUACGGAACGAAACGGCCUGGGUUAAUACCCCGGGCUAAUGACGGUACCGUAAGAAUAAGCACCGGCUAACUACGUGCCAGCCGCCGCUGUAA